Vombatus ursinus (common wombat) is the source of this 1335-nucleotide long non-coding RNA. RefSeq lists it as uncharacterized. Lineage: Eukaryota; Metazoa; Chordata; Mammalia; Diprotodontia; Vombatidae. The record is from RefSeq and is a predicted model, not a curated record. The transcript has 3 exons.
CAGUGUUGGUGGAGAGCAAAGCGGGAUGAAAAAUUCACUCCGUGUCAGAAGCUCUACAUCUAAUUUUUGAUUUUCAGAUAUAAUGCAACAAGAUGCUACAAGGAAAUGAACCUAAGGAGUGCCUGUAUUGAAGAAGGGAUGAAUCCAUGAAACAAGUGUAAAAAAGAUUUGAAGAAAGACACCAUGAAGCCCUUGAAGGCAAAGGAUGCAUUGAUGUCUUCAGUAUCAUUUAUGUCUCUACUAAAGAAUUACCACAUUUUUUUUUUCCAGGUGUCAUUGUACAUGAACCUCCAAGCUUGGCUAUUAAAAUGGGAUUUUGCUAGAAUGCAGAUUGCAAGAAUAGGAGUAAUGUCCAAUGAAUUUAGAAAGAAUGCAUUUGGUUCAGUUCUUGGCCCCAUAGAAUAUAAAUGAAAUUGACGAGCUGGACAGUAUCCAAAUGAGGGCAAGCAGUAUGGUGAAAGACCUGAAGAUCAUGGCAUUUGAGGAACAGUUGAAGAAACUUGGGUUAUCAGUUACUUGGAAUAAAAGAAAACAAAAGAGUUAUGAUAAAACUAUCAAGAAUUUGAAGAACUGUAUUGCAAAAAGAUUGAUUAAAUAUCUUCUAUUUGAUGCAGAAAGACAAACCAUGAGGAAUGUAUUCAAGCUUCAAAGAAGUAUUUAAGUUUAAUAUAAGGAAAAUCUUGUAAACCAUUAAAGCUGUACAAAGGGGAAAGGAACUGCCUUAGAGAGUUGUAGGUUUCACAUUGUUAGAAGUUUUCAAACAAACAAUUGAUGAGCAUUUUACAUUUGUUGUAGAAGAACUUAGUCUAGCAUGGGCUUGACUGGAGAGCUCUGAGGAUUUCUUCUAACUUUGAGAUUCUGAUUCUGGGAGCAUUUCAAUUAGCAUAUAUGUUUUAAUAUAUGUUCAACUUUCACUUUUCUGUGCACAUUGUCCUUAAGCACAUUACUAGUAGAAAUAGGCAUUCCCAAGAGUAGCUGAAUCCUCUUCACCCUCUUCAUUGUUCAAAUAGUAAUGGAAAUAGAAAGGAAAUUUACUAUUCUGCUACAGAAAUAAUGUUUAAGUGGAUGCUUAUCACCCACAUAACACCCAGAAGAAUUAAAGAUAGAAACCACAUUUAUCCAAUACAUGUAGUAUUUGGUUUAGAUUGAGAGGCCAUCCAGGGGGGUUAAUAAAUUAUACAAUGGAAGAGUGUAUUUGCUCUUCAAGUAAAGACAGUUGAAACUUGCUUUACUCUUAGCUUCAGUUACUUAAUAUGAUCAGAAUUUGAAGUUAACAGAGAAGAUAAACUUAAAGAAUUGGAGUCAGAAUGAGGCUUUAUCUUGAUUGUAAAAAAA